ACCUGGGUGGCUCAGUCAGUUGAGCAUCUGACUUCGGCUCAGGUCAUGAUCUCACGGCUUGUGGGUUCGAGCCCCACGUCAGGCU
This 85-nucleotide transfer RNA is filed under the name Felis catus (domestic cat). It matches the Rfam family "tRNA". Rfam says of the family: Transfer RNA (tRNA) molecules are approximately 80 nucleotides in length. Their secondary structure includes four short double-helical elements and three loops (D, anti-codon, and T loops). Further hydrogen bonds mediate the characteristic L-shaped molecular structure. tRNAs have two regions of fundamental functional importance: the anti-codon, which is responsible for specific mRNA codon recognition, and the 3' end, to which the tRNAs corresponding amino acid is attached (by aminoacyl-tRNA synthetases). tRNAs cope with the degeneracy of the genetic code in two manners: having more than one tRNA (with a specific anti-codon) for a particular amino acid; and 'wobble' base-pairing, i.e. permitting non-standard base-pairing at the 3rd anti-codon position. The record is from Rfam by way of RNAcentral. Lineage: Eukaryota; Metazoa; Chordata; Mammalia; Carnivora; Felidae.